AGAGUUUGAUCCUGGCUCAGGAUGAACGCUAGCGGGAGGCCUAACACAUGCAAGCCGAGCGGUAUUGUUUCUUCGGAAAUGAGAGAGCGGCGUACGGGUGCGGAACACGUGUGCAACCUGCCUUUAUCUGGGGGAUAGCCUUUCGAAAGGAAGAUUAAUACUCCAUAAUAUAUUGAUUGGCAUCAAUUAAUAUUGAAAGCUCCGGCGGAUAGAGAUGGGCACGCGCAAGAUUAGCUAGUUGGUGAGGUAACGGCUCACCAAGGCGAUGAUCUUUAGGGGGCCUGAGAGGGUGAUCCCCCACACUGGUACUGAGACACGGACCAGACUCCUACGGGAGGCAGCAGUGAGGAAUAUUGGUCAAUGGGUGCAAGCCUGAACCAGCCAUCCCGCGUGAAGGACGACUGCCCUAUGGGUUGUAAACUUCUUUUGUAUAGGGAUAAACCUAUCCUCGUGAGGGUAGCUGAAGGUACUAUACGAAUAAGCACCGGCUAACUCCGUGCCAGCAGCCGCGGUAAUACGGAGGGUGCAAGCGUUAUCCGGAUUUAUUGGGUUUAAAGGGUCCGUAGGCGGACUUAUAAGUCAGUGGUGAAAGCCUGUCGCUUAACGAUAGAACUGCCAUUGAUACUGUAAGUCUUGAGUAUAUUUGAGGUAGCUGGAAUAAGUAGUGUAGCGGUGAAAUGCAUAGAUAUUACUUAGAACACCAAUUGCG
RNAcentral lists this ribosomal RNA (709 nucleotides) under uncultured bacterium. RNAcentral's name for it is "bacterial SSU rRNA". It matches the Rfam family "Bacterial small subunit ribosomal RNA", at positions 8 to 717 of the family's 1533-position model. The record is from RNAcentral.